Molecule: ribosomal RNA, 346 nt
Filed under: uncultured bacterium
Lineage: Bacteria
Description: partial 16S ribosomal RNA
Rfam family: Bacterial small subunit ribosomal RNA
Source: RNAcentral
CCUACGGGUGGCAGCAGUGAGGAAUAUUGGUCAAUGGACGAGAGUCUGAACCAGCCAAGUAGCGUGAAGGAUGACUGCCCGAUGGGUGGUAAACUUCUUUUAUAGGGGAAUAAAAUGUUCCACGUGUGGGAUUUUGUAUGGACCAUAUGAAUAAGGAUCGGCUAACUCCGUGCCAGCAGCCGCGGUAAUACGGAGGAGCCGAGCGUUAUCCGGAUUUAGUGGGUUUAAAGGGAGCGUAGGGGGAUUGUUAAGUCAGUUGUGAAAGUUUGCGGCUCAACCGUAAAAUUGCAGUUGAAACGGGCAGUCUUGAGUACAGUAGAGGUGGGCGGAAUUCGUUGUGUCGCGG